Solanum verrucosum is the source of this 192-nucleotide long non-coding RNA. RefSeq lists it as uncharacterized. NCBI's taxonomy places the organism in Eukaryota, Viridiplantae, Streptophyta, Magnoliopsida, Solanales, Solanaceae. The record is from RefSeq and is a predicted model, not a curated record. The transcript has 4 exons.
GAAAAGAAAAAGAACUCAUUAAGGUGCAUUUGAAUUUGAUAAGUCAAAAAAAGUGAUUGGAGUGCCUCGAUCUACUCAAAAAAGUGAUACUAGUCCGUUUGAAUCUAGAAAAGCAAAAAAAAGUGUUUGAAGUGGCUCAAGGUGCUAAGGAAACUGAAACUAGUCUGUUUGAAUUUGACAAGGCUAAAAAAG